CCUACGGGAGGCAGCAGUGAGGAAUAUUGGUCAAUGGGCGGGAGCCUGAACCAGCCAAGCCGCGUGAGGAAGAAGGUACAGCGUAUCGUAAACCUCCUUUGUCAGGGAACAAAGGCGGGGACUAGUCCCCGGAUGAGGGUACCUGAAGAAAAAGCCUCGGCUAACUCCGUGCCAGCCGCCUCGGUAAUACGGGGGAUGCGAACGUUUUCCGGGUUUAUUGGGGUUUAAGGGGGCGCAGGCGGCCUGUUAAGUCAGCGGUAAAAGCCCGGGGGUCAACCCCGGCGAGCCGUUGAAACUGGCGGGCUGGAGUUGGAGAGAAGUACGCGGAAUGCGCGGUGUAGCGGUGAAAUGCUUAGAUAUCGCGCAGAACCCCGAUUGCGAAGGCAGCGUACCGGCUCCACACUGACGCUGAGGCACGAAAGCGUGGGUAUCGAACAGGAUUAGAUACCCCAGUAGUC
Molecule: ribosomal RNA, 458 nt
Filed under: uncultured bacterium
Lineage: Bacteria
Description: partial 16S ribosomal RNA
Rfam family: Bacterial small subunit ribosomal RNA
Source: RNAcentral